GAUGAACGCUGGCGGCGUGCCUAAUACAUGCAAGUCGAGCGAACAGACGAGGAGCUUGCUCCUCUGACGUUAGCGGCGGACGGGUGAGUAACACGUGGAUAACCUACCUAUAAGACUGGGAUAACUUCGGGAAACCGGAGCUAAUACCGGAUAACAUGUUGAACCGCAUGGUUCAACAGUGAAAGACGGUCUUGCUGUCACUUAUAGAUGGAUCCGCGCCACAUUAGCUAGUUGGUAAGGUAACGGCUUACCAAGGCAACGAUGCGUAGCCGACCUGAGAGGGUGAUCGGCCACACUGGAACUGAGACACGGUCCAGACUCCUACGGGAGGCAGCAGUAGGGAAUCUUCCGCAAUGGGCGAAAGCCUGACGGAGCAACGCCGCGUGAGUGAAGAAGGUCUUCGGAUCGUAAAACUCUGUUAUUAGGGAAGAACAAAUGUGUAAGUAACUAUGCACGUCUUGACGGUACCUAAUCAGAAAGCCACGGCUAACUACGU
Molecule: ribosomal RNA, 496 nt
Filed under: uncultured bacterium
Lineage: Bacteria
Description: partial 16S ribosomal RNA
Rfam family: Bacterial small subunit ribosomal RNA
Source: RNAcentral